Molecule: ribosomal RNA, 483 nt
Filed under: uncultured bacterium
Lineage: Bacteria
Description: partial 16S ribosomal RNA
Rfam family: Bacterial small subunit ribosomal RNA
Source: RNAcentral
GACGAACGCUGGCGGCGUGCUUAACACAUGCCAGUCGAACGCUGAAGCUCAGCUUUUGUUGGGUGGAUGAGUGGCGAACGGGUGAGUAACACGUGAGUAACCUGCCCCCUUCUUUGGGAUAACGCCCGGAAACGGGUGCUAAUACUGGAUAUUCACUGGUCGUCGCGUGGGGGCUGGUGGAAAGGGUUUUUCUGGUGGGGGAUGGGCUCGCGGCCUAUCAGCUUGUUGGGGGGGUGAUGGCCUACCAAGGCUUUGACGGGUAGCCGGCCUGAGAGGGUGACCGGUCAGAUUGGGAGUGAGAUACGGCCCAGACUCCUACGGGAGGCAGCAGUGGGGAAGAUUGCACAAUGGGCGCAAGCCUGAUGCAGCGACGCCGCGUGAGGGAUGGAGGCCUUCGGGUUGUGAACCUCUUUCGCUCAUGGUCAAGCCGCAACAAUGGUUGUGGUGAGGGUAGUGGGUAAAGAAGCGCCGGCUAACUACGUG